GUACUCUGUGGCAGCACAUAUGGUUAAAUUCGAGUGAUAUAGAGAAGAUUAGCACAGCCCCUGCACAAGGAUGACACAAAAAUUUGUGGAGUGUUCUGGUUUAAA
Molecule: small nuclear RNA, 105 nt
Organism: Rattus norvegicus (Norway rat)
Lineage: Eukaryota; Metazoa; Chordata; Mammalia; Rodentia; Muridae
Source: Ensembl